AUUGAACGCUGGCGGAAUGCUUUACACAUGCAAGUCGAACGGCAGCACGGGGCAACCUGGUGGCGAGUGGCGAACGGGUGAGUAAUACAUCGGAACGUGCCCAAUCGUGGGGGAUAACGUAGCGAAAGUUACGCUAAUACCGCAUACGAUCUACGGAUGAAAGCGGGGGAUCGCAAGACCUCGCGCGAAUGGAGCGGCCGAUGUCAGAUUAGGUAGUUGGUGGGGUAAAGGCUCACCAAGCCGACGAUCUGUAGCUGGUCUGAGAGGACGACCAGCCACACUGGGACUGAGACACGGCCCAGACUCCUACGGAGGCAGCAGUGGGGAAUUUUGGGACUAAAUGGGCGCAAGCCUGAUCCAGCCAUCCGCGUGCAGGAUGAAGG
This 383-nucleotide ribosomal RNA is filed under the name uncultured bacterium. Its description in RNAcentral is "bacterial SSU rRNA". It matches the Rfam family "Bacterial small subunit ribosomal RNA", at positions 29 to 414 of the family's 1533-position model. The record is from RNAcentral.